This 291-nucleotide ribosomal RNA is filed under the name uncultured Bacillus sp. RNAcentral's name for it is "partial 16S ribosomal RNA". It matches the Rfam family "Bacterial small subunit ribosomal RNA", at positions 505 to 796 of the family's 1533-position model. Lineage: Bacteria; Bacillati; Bacillota; Bacilli; Caryophanales; Bacillaceae. The record is from RNAcentral.
GUGCAGCCGCCGCGGUAAUACGUAGGUGGCAAGCGUUAUCCGGAAUUAUUGGGCGUAAAGCGCGCGCAGGUGGUUUCUUAAGUCUGAUGUGAAAGCCCACGGCUCAACCGUGGAGGGUCAUUGGAAACUGGGAGACUUGAGUGCAGAAGAGGAAAGUGGAAUUCCAUGUGUAGCGGUGAAAUGCGUAGAGAUAUGGAGGAACACCAGUGGCGAAGGCGACUUUCUGGUCUGUAACUGACACUGAGGCGCGAAAGCGUGGGGAGCAAACAGGAUUAGAUACCCCCGUAGUCC